This 519-nucleotide ribosomal RNA is filed under the name uncultured bacterium. Its description in RNAcentral is "bacterial SSU rRNA". It matches the Rfam family "Bacterial small subunit ribosomal RNA", at positions 355 to 891 of the family's 1533-position model. The record is from RNAcentral.
UGGGGAAUAUUGCACAAUGGAGGAAACUCUGAUGCAGCAACGCCGCGUGGAGGAUGACACAUUUCGGUGCGUAAACUCCUUUUAUAUGAGAAGAUAAUGACGGUAUCAUAUGAAUAAGCACCGGCUAACUCCGUGCCAGCAGCCGCGGUAAUACGGGGGGUGCAAGCGUUACUCGGAAUCACUGGGCGUAAAGAGCAUGUAGGCUGGUUUGUAAGUUGGAAGUGAAAUCCUAUGGCUUAACCAUAGAACUGCUUCCAAAACUACUUACCUAGAGUAUGGGAGAGGUAGAUGGAAUUUCUGGUGUAGGGGUAAAAUCCGUAGAGAUCAGAAGGAAUACCGAUUGCGAAGGCGAUCUACUGGAACAUUACUGACGCUCAGAUGCGAAAGCGUGGGGAGCAAACAGGAUUAGAUACCCUGGUAGUCCACGCCCUAAACGAUGCACACUAGUUGUUGCCUUGCUAGACAAGGCAGUAAUGCAGUUAACACAGUAAGUGUGCCGCCUGGGGAGUACGGUCGCCA